Molecule: ribosomal RNA, 107 nt
Filed under: Thermus tengchongensis
Lineage: Bacteria; Thermotogati; Deinococcota; Deinococci; Thermales; Thermaceae
Description: partial 23S ribosomal RNA
Rfam family: Bacterial large subunit ribosomal RNA
Source: RNAcentral
CUUUAGCCGGUAAGGACCCGGGAAGACGACCCGGUGGAUGGGCCGGAGGUGUAAGCGCCGCGAGGCGUUGAGCUGACCGGUCCCAAUCGUCCGAGGUCUUGACCCUU